AUCUGAAAUCUAUAUGAAAAAAUCUAUUUGUAUCUAACAUUGCUGUUAAAAAAAUUGAAAAUACAGAAGUUUUUUUACAAACAAGUAAAACUUUGAUCCCUAGAUUGAAGGUCAAGUGUAAACUACAUCUGGAUUGAAGUCUUUUCCAUUAUCAAAGACUCAAAUAUAUAGCAGCAUCACUCCAGCUCGUUACCAUUUUCUGCCGAACUUCAAGCAGGAAGCGGGGAUAUGGCAAAGUGCAUAAAUA
Molecule: long non-coding RNA, 247 nt
Organism: Juglans microcarpa x Juglans regia
Lineage: Eukaryota; Viridiplantae; Streptophyta; Magnoliopsida; Fagales; Juglandaceae
Exons: 2
Source: RefSeq, a predicted model, not a curated record